UACGGAGGGUGCAAGCGUUGCUCGGAAUUAUUGGGCGUAAAGGGUAGGUAGGUGGUCUCAUUUGUCUGGGGUGAAAGCCUUGAGCUUAACUCAAGAAGUGCCCCAGAAACGGUGGGACUAGAGUCCUGGAGAGGGUCGUGGAAUUCCCGGUGUAGCGGUGAAAUGCGUAGAGAUCGGGAGGAACACCAGAGGCGAAGGCGGCGACCUGGACAGGCACUGACACUCAACUACGAAAGCGUGGGGAGCAAACAGG
This 253-nucleotide ribosomal RNA is filed under the name uncultured bacterium. RNAcentral describes it as "partial 16S ribosomal RNA". It matches the Rfam family "Bacterial small subunit ribosomal RNA", at positions 524 to 776 of the family's 1533-position model. The record is from RNAcentral.